This 69-nucleotide transfer RNA is filed under the name Mannophryne trinitatis (Trinidad poison frog). RNAcentral's name for it is "tRNA-Ser". The record is from RNAcentral. Lineage: Eukaryota; Metazoa; Chordata; Amphibia; Anura; Aromobatidae.
GAGUUUGUUUAAGGCCUAGCGAGAACUGCUAAUUCCUCGCUUCCAUGGCUCAAUUCCAUGGCUAACUCA